UGCUUCCUACGGGGCGCAGCAGUGGGGAAUAUUGGGCAAUGGGCGCAAGCCUGACCCAGCAACGCCGCGUGAAGGAAGAAGGCUUUCGGGUUGUAAACUUCUUUUCUCAGGGACGAAGCAAGUGACGGUACCUGAGGAAUAAGCCACGGCUAACUACGUGCCAGCAGCCGCGGUAAUACGUAGGUGGCAAGCGUUAUCCGGAUUUACUGGGUGUAAAGUGCGUGUAGGCGGGAAAGCAAGCCAUAUGUGAAACCCAUGGGCUCAACCUUUGGCCUGCAUUUGAA
This 284-nucleotide ribosomal RNA is filed under the name uncultured bacterium. Its description in RNAcentral is "partial 16S ribosomal RNA". It matches the Rfam family "Bacterial small subunit ribosomal RNA", at positions 333 to 631 of the family's 1533-position model. The record is from RNAcentral.